This 396-nucleotide unclassified non-coding RNA is filed under the name Hevea brasiliensis (rubber tree). The record is from RNAcentral. Lineage: Eukaryota; Viridiplantae; Streptophyta; Magnoliopsida; Malpighiales; Euphorbiaceae.
UCUUUUGAAAUAAGCACCGUCGAAACUCUGUCCACCGAUUAUGGCGAUGCCGAUUAUGACAGGGGAGCUUAUCGCUGGCAAUCGGAAGAGGACGUCAAGCAAAGCUGGCUGUUGAAACCUAACAAGGAGAGUGAGAGGAGGAAGAAAAGAAUGGCUUAUGUGAACAACGUGACGGUCAAGACUCUGUUGUUGCUGGUCUUUUUGGGUGGUUUUAUCGCCCUCGUUGUUAAAGUCGUCAGCCGUCACCGCCACUGGCAUCCGGCUCCUGGCCCUGACAACUACACUAUUGCCCUCCACCAGGCGCUCAUGUUUUUCAACGCCCAGCGAUGUCCGUAUGCUCUCUUCUUUUUUCUCUCUUUUGUGCAUGAACGAUACUUGGCUCUGUUUAUAAGCUUG